CAUGUCGUACAUCCCUAAUUUCUGAACACAAUUAAAUGAUUUAAUGUGAUUGCAAUUUUCAGUUAUAAUUUAGCUAUCAUACUAAUUUUAUCAUAGUUUUCUGUUUAAUAAUGUUACAGAUGCUUUACACGUUUUUAUACGAGAACCCGUUUACAUUUGGAUACAUUUUAUAAGUUCACAUAACUUGUUGUAUUUUGUAUUAACUAGUAUAGAAUCUAACCUAAUAGGUGAAAAUGAGUGAAGGUCCACAGAAAAAGCGCAAAAACGAUGAAGAAAAUUCGACAGAAUUAUCAGAACCUCCAUCUAAAAACACAAAAAUGCAGAUUCAGUGUCCAUACUUGGAUACAAUUAACCGGCAUGUUUUGGAUUUUGAUUUUGAAAAGCUUUGCUCUGUCUCGCUGACAAGAAUUAAUGUUUAUGCUUGUCUUGUUUGUGGAAAGUAUUUUCAGGGUAGAGGUACGAACACUCAUGCAUACACACACUCAGUUGCAGAUGGGCAUCAUGUGUUCCUAAAUUUAAAUACUUUGAAAUUUUAUUGCUUGCCUGAUAAUUAUGAAGUCAUAGAUUCAUCACUUAAUGACAUAAAAUAUGUGCUCAAUCCCAUAUUUACAAUGGAGCAAAUAAAACAACUUGAUUAUAAUACUAAGAUGUCUCGAGCAAUUGACGGCUCUAUGUCCAUGCCUGGAAUUGUUGGUCUUAAUAAUAUUAAGGCCAAUGAUUAUUGUAAUGUUAUAUUACAGUGUCUAGCUCAAGUUCGGCCAUUAAGAAAUUACUUUCUACGUGAGGAGAACUAUGCUAAUGUCAAACGGCCACCAGGAGACUCCUCAUUUUUACUUGUGCAGCGAUUUGGAGAGUUAUUAAGAAAAUUAUGGAACCCCCGAGCAUUCAAAGCCCAUGUGUCACCUCAUGAAAUGUUGCAAGCUGUAGUAUUAUGGUCAAAGAAGCGGUUUCAGUUUAUUAAACAAAGUGAUCCAAUUGAUUUCAUGUCGUGGUUUUUGAAUUCAUUACACAUGGCGCUGAAUGGUACUAAGAAACCAGACAGUUCAAUUAUUUAUAAGUCAUUUUUGGGCCACAUGAGAAUUUAUACAAGAAAACUUCCACCACCAGAUGCAGAUGAUGCUGCUAAGGUAGAUUUAAACAGUGAAGAAUAUAAUGAGAUGAUAACAGAGUCUCCUUUCCUUUAUCUCACUUGUGACUUACCGCCAACGCCACUAUUCACUGAUGAAUUUAGGGAAAAUAUUAUACCACAGGUUAACCUUUACCAACUGUUAUCAAAAUUCAAUGGGCAAACAUCGAAAGAGUACAAAACAUAUAAAGAAAAUUUCCUGAAAAGAUUUGAGAUUACUCAGCUGCCACCUUACCUCAUACUUUAUAUUAAAAGGUUUACAAAAAAUACCUUUUUUGUGGAGAAAAAUCCUACUGUUGUUAAUUUUCCUGUCAAAAAUGUAGAUUUUGGUGAUAUCCUGACACCAGAAGUUAAAGCAAAAUACAAAGGGAAGACAACUUAUGAGCUGGUAGGUAAUAUACUUCACGAUGGUACACCAGAAAAGGGCACCUACCGAGCACAUGUAUUGCACAAACCAACACAACAGUGGUAUGAAAUGCAAGAUCUUCAUGUUACAAGUAUAUUACCACAAAUGAUAACCUUAACUGAAGCAUAUAUCCAAAUAUAUGAGUUAAAAGAUGACUAAAAUAAAAUGAUAUAAAAAGUAUGAAAUGCAAGAUCUUCAUGUUACAAGUAUAUUACCACAAAUGAUAACCUUAACUGAAGCAUAUAUCCAAAUAUAUGAGUUAAAAGAUGACUAAAAUAAAAUGAUAUAAAAAGUAUGAAAUGCAAGAUCUUCAUGUUACAAGUAUAUUACCACAAAUGAUAACCUUAACUGAAGCAUAUAUCCAAAUAUAUGAGUUAAAAGACGACUAAAAUAAA
RNA transcript from Pieris brassicae (large cabbage white), 1927 nucleotides. It is a transcript of the gene named U4/U6.U5 tri-snRNP-associated protein 2, with no coding region annotated. The transcript is spliced from 12 exons. The record is from RefSeq and is a predicted model, not a curated record. Lineage: Eukaryota; Metazoa; Arthropoda; Insecta; Lepidoptera; Pieridae.